This 965-nucleotide long non-coding RNA is filed under the name Helianthus annuus (common sunflower). Its description in RNAcentral is "hypothetical non coding rna". Lineage: Eukaryota; Viridiplantae; Streptophyta; Magnoliopsida; Asterales; Asteraceae. The record is from RNAcentral.
UUUGUAAACAUUGUGCUUGUAACCGGAACCUUCAUUCGUAUUAAUACAGUGGUGUUAAUCGGUGAAUCCUUGUGUGUUUGUGUUUGUGCUUGUCUCAACCCGGUUUGCUUGCUAGCUUGGAUUCCGCACUCGCUAGUGGGUUUGUAUAACAAGGUUUAGGUUCGUCAUCCUCCGGAAAGGGACCUACAAGUGGUAUCAGAGCUAAGGCUCUUUACCUUGUUUAAAAUCGGGUUUUUGUUCAAGUCUUGGGUUGUUUUUUUUUGGUCAGAUCUGGAAAACCCAGUCACCGUGUUCUUGCUGUGUUCUUGAAGUUCUUGAGAUCUUCAUAUUUCGAAAGAUCAUAUAUCAGUUUGAAAGAUCAACUGUUUCGAAGGGUCAACCACCUUUUUGUCUCGAAAGAUCAAGCUAAAAUCUCGAAGGAUAUUCACAGUGUCGAAGGGUCAACCCAAACAAUUCGAAGGGUCAUCUUUGUUUUUCGAAGGAUCAAGCUAAACUUCGAAGGGUCAAAUUUAUUUGUUGUUAGUGGUGCACCUCCCUAGGUUCUCUGACCAUUCCACUGCCCAAGAAAACAAAUAAACUUUGUUGACUUUUGCUUGUGAUCCGUUCAAGGCACUGCCGCCUGACAAGAAAAAUCAAAAGGAUUUUGCAUGUUUAAACUUUAUCAAAGCCAAAGUGGUCACAAACAAUCAAUCCAUUCCACCGCCCAAAGUUCAGUGCACUGCCCAAGAAAACAAAUUAAUUUUGUUUGAUUAUGCCGCCCAAGUGACCUAUAAAAUUCGUUUGUUUGUUCUUGUUGUGCGCCGCCCAAGUCACUUUGAUUGGUUGUUGUUGGAUUCAAGUCAAAGCACUCCAACAAGAAAAUAAUUUUUAAAAAGGCCCACUUUCCGUUUGAGAUAGUGCACCGCCCAAAGGUUUUUUUUUUUUUGUUGAUUGGUGUUGAAGAAAAAGUUCACCGUCAUGAUCUU